GAUGAACGCUGGCGGCGUGCCUAAUACAUGCAAGUCGAGCGAACGGACGAGGAGCUUGCUUCGCUGAUGUUAGCGGCGGACGGGUGAGGAACACGUGGAUAACCUACCGAUAAGACUGGGAUAACUUCGGGAAACCGGAGCUAAUACCGGAUAAUAUUUUGAACCGCAUGGUUCAAAAGUGAAAGACGGUCUUGCUGUCACUUAUAGAUGGAUCCUCGCUGCAUUAGCUAGUUGGUAAGGUAACGGCUUACCAAGGCAACGAUGCAUAGCCGACCUGAGAGGGUGAUCGGCCACACUGGAACUGAGACACGGUCCAGACUCCUACGGGAGGCAGCAGUAGGGAAUAUUCCGCAAUGGGCGAAAGCCUGACGGAGCAACGCCGCGUGAGUGAUGAAGGUCUUCGGAUCGUAAAACUCUGUUAUUAGGGAAGAACAUAUGUGUAAGUAACUGUGCACAUCUUGACGGUACCUAAUCAGAAAGCCACGGCUAACUACGUG
Molecule: ribosomal RNA, 497 nt
Filed under: uncultured bacterium
Lineage: Bacteria
Description: partial 16S ribosomal RNA
Rfam family: Bacterial small subunit ribosomal RNA
Source: RNAcentral